UAGAUUGCUGGCGACCGGCGCACGGGUGAGUAACACGUAUCCAACCUGCCGAUAACUCGGGGAUAGCCUUUCGAAAGAAAGAUUAAUAUCCGAUAGUAUAUUAAAACCGCAUGGUUUUACUAUUAAAGAAUUUCGGUUAUCGAUGGGGAUGCGUUCCAUUAGGCAGUUGGUGAGGUAACGGCUCACCAAACCUUCGAUGGAUAGGGGUUCUGAGAGGAAGGUCCCCCACAUUGGAACUGAGACACGGUCCAA
This 252-nucleotide ribosomal RNA is filed under the name uncultured bacterium. RNAcentral's name for it is "partial 16S ribosomal RNA". It matches the Rfam family "Bacterial small subunit ribosomal RNA", at positions 81 to 334 of the family's 1533-position model. The record is from RNAcentral.